UACGAAGGGGGCAAGCGUUGUUCGGAAUUACUGGGCGUAAAGGGCGCGUAGGCGGCUUACCAAGUCAGGCGUGAAAUUCCCGGGCUCAACCUGGGGGCUGCGCUUGAUACUGGUGAGCUUGAAUGCGGGAGAGGAUAGUGGAAUUCCCAGUGUAGAGGUGAAAUUCCUAGAUAUUGGGAAGAACACCGGUGGCGAAGGCGGCUAUCUGGCCCGUAAUUGACGCUGAGGCGCGAAAGCGUGGGGAGCAAACAGG
This 253-nucleotide ribosomal RNA is filed under the name uncultured bacterium. RNAcentral describes it as "partial 16S ribosomal RNA". It matches the Rfam family "Bacterial small subunit ribosomal RNA", at positions 524 to 776 of the family's 1533-position model. The record is from RNAcentral.